GGUCCCAUGGUGUAAGGGUCAGCACUCAGGACUCUGAAUCCUGCAAUCUGAGUUCAAAUCUCAGUGGGACCU
Molecule: transfer RNA, 72 nt
Filed under: Pelodiscus sinensis (Chinese soft-shelled turtle)
Lineage: Eukaryota; Metazoa; Chordata; Testudines; Trionychidae
Rfam family: tRNA
About the family: Transfer RNA (tRNA) molecules are approximately 80 nucleotides in length. Their secondary structure includes four short double-helical elements and three loops (D, anti-codon, and T loops).
Source: Rfam by way of RNAcentral